UACGUAGGUCCCGAGCGUUGUCCGGAUUUAUUGGGCGUAAAGCGAGCGCAGGUGGUUUAUUAAGUCUGGUGUAAAAGGCAGUGGCUCAACCAUUGUAUGCAUUGGAAACUGGUAGACUUGAGUGCAGGAGAGGAGAGUGGAAUUCCAUGUGUAGCGGUGAAAUGCGUAGAUAUAUGGAGGAACCCCGGUGGCGAAAGCGGCUCUCUGGCCUGUAACUGACACUGAGGCUCGAAAGCGUGGGGAGCAAACAAG
This 252-nucleotide ribosomal RNA is filed under the name uncultured bacterium. Its description in RNAcentral is "partial 16S ribosomal RNA". It matches the Rfam family "Bacterial small subunit ribosomal RNA", at positions 524 to 776 of the family's 1533-position model. The record is from RNAcentral.